GUUAGGAGGGAAACGAAUGCAGCUGAAGUGGCUCCGUAUCAGGUUCAGGGGGUGUCGGAGGAUGUUCCGGGUGGGGAUAGCUAGCGCGUCCCCAGUCGGAUAGACCGUCGACUUCCCUGCACUCCCGUGGGGAGCCGGCCAACAGCAGUUGCUUCUGGCCCAGAAGAUCGGGCGGGAGGUGCCUCUGCACUCGUGCAGAGAACGUAUAGCCGUCCGUUCGGAGGUCCGGAGGCGACUGAGGAGAGUCGUGAGUUUUCACGUGUGCAGCGCAGGCCCUUCUUGGGCCGGGUCGCCUCGGUCCGUUUGGAACCCGGCGGUGGGGACUGCUUGCAGUGUCUGCUGACGGUAAGUCUGCUCGGUCUGGGGGUC
RNAcentral lists this ribosomal RNA (369 nucleotides) under Cliona vermifera. RNAcentral describes it as "partial large subunit ribosomal RNA". The record is from RNAcentral. Lineage: Eukaryota; Metazoa; Porifera; Demospongiae; Clionaida; Clionaidae.